GAUGAACGCUGGCGGCGUGCCUAAUACAUGCAAGUCGAGCGAACAGACGAGGAGUUUGCUCCUUCGACGUUAGCGGCGGACGGGUGAGUAACACGUAGGUAACCUACCUAUAAGACUGGGAUACUUUCGGGAAACCGGAGCUACUACCGGAUAAUAUUUCGAACCGCAUGGUUCGAUAGUGAAAGAUGGCUUUGCUAUCACUUAUAGAUGGACCUGCGCCGUAUUAGCUAGUUGGUAAGGUAACGGCUUACCAAGGCAACGAUACGUAGCCGACCUGAGAGGGUGAUCGGGCACACUGGAACUGAGGCACGGUCCAGACUCCUACGGGGGGCAGCAGUAGGGAAUCUUACGCGAGGGGCGAAAGCCGGACGGAGCAAAGUCGCGGGAGUGAUGAAGGUCCUCGGAUCGGAAAACGCUGUUAGUAGGGAAGAACAAACGUGUAAGUAACUGGGCACGUAUUGACGGUACCUAAUCAGAAAGCCACGGCUAACUACGUG
RNAcentral lists this ribosomal RNA (497 nucleotides) under uncultured bacterium. Its description in RNAcentral is "partial 16S ribosomal RNA". It matches the Rfam family "Bacterial small subunit ribosomal RNA", at positions 28 to 507 of the family's 1533-position model. The record is from RNAcentral.